CUGCAAGAGGGACUUCAAAGAGACCACUUGGAAAGCAUGACACAUGCCCUUUGGAGUCUGAGAGACAUGUUAGCCUGACGUCUGGCUCAUGCCCAGGAAAUAUACAGGGUGUUCUGUAUGAUCGAUUUAAGAGUUCCAGACUGCUGACACCAUA
Molecule: long non-coding RNA, 154 nt
Filed under: Mustela putorius furo (domestic ferret)
Lineage: Eukaryota; Metazoa; Chordata; Mammalia; Carnivora; Mustelidae
Description: lncRNA (ENSMPUG00000024364.1)
Source: RNAcentral